AUUGAACGCUGGCGGCAGGCUUAACACAUGCAAGUCGAGCGGAGAUGAGGUGCUUGCACCUUAUCUUAGCGGCGGACGGGUGAGUAAUGCUUAGGAAUCUGCCAUUUAGUGGGGGACAACAUUCCGAAAGGAAUGCUAAUACCGCAUACGUCCUACGGGAGAAAGCAGGGGAUCUUCGGACCUUGCGCUAAAUGAUGAGCCUAAGUCGGAUUAGCUAGUUGGUGGGGUAAAGGCCUACCAAGGCGACGAUCUGUAGCGGGUCUGAGAGGAUGAUCCGCCACACUGGGACUGAGACACGGCCCAGACUCCUACGGGAGGCAGCAGUGGGGAAUAUUGGACAAUAGGGGGAACCCUGAUCCAGCCAUGCCGCGUGUGUGAAGAAGGCCUUAUGGUUGUAAAGAACUUUAAGCGAGGAGGAGGCUACUGAGACUAAUACUCUUGGAUAGUGGACGUUACUCGCAGAAUAAGCACCGGCUAACUCUGUG
RNAcentral lists this ribosomal RNA (485 nucleotides) under uncultured bacterium. RNAcentral describes it as "partial 16S ribosomal RNA". It matches the Rfam family "Bacterial small subunit ribosomal RNA", at positions 30 to 507 of the family's 1533-position model. The record is from RNAcentral.